CUAGUAAUGGCAGGUCAGCAUACUGCCGUGAAUACGUUCCCGGGCCUUGUACACACCGCCCGUCACACCAUGAGAGUUGGGGAUACCCAAAGCCCGUGAGCCAACUGUAAAGAGGCAGCGGUCUAAGGUAGAAUCAAUGAUUGGGGUGAAGUCGUAACAAGGUAUC
RNAcentral lists this ribosomal RNA (166 nucleotides) under uncultured bacterium. RNAcentral describes it as "partial 16S ribosomal RNA". It matches the Rfam family "Bacterial small subunit ribosomal RNA", at positions 1335 to 1500 of the family's 1533-position model. The record is from RNAcentral.